ACUCCUACGGGAGGCAGCAGUAGGGAAUCUUCCACAAUGGACGAAAGUCUGAUGGAGCAACGCCGCGUGAACGAUGAAGGCCUCGGUCGUAAAGUUCUGUUGUAAGGGAAGAACAAGUGCCGCAGGCAAUGGCGGCACCUUGACGGUACCUUGCGAGAAAGCCACGGCUAACUACGUGCCAGCAGCCGCGGUAAUACGUAGGUGGCAAGCGUUGUCCGGAAUUAUUGGGCGUAAAGCGCGCGCAGGCGGCCUCUUAAGUCUGAUGUGAAAGCCCCGGCUCAACCGGGGGAGGGCCAUUGGAAACUGGGAGGCUUGAGUAUAGGAGAGAAGAGUGGAAUUCCACGUGUAGCGGUGAAAUGCGUAGAGAUGUGGAGGAACACCAGUGGCGAAGGCGACUCCUUUGGCCUAUAACUGACGCUGAGGCGCGAAAGCGUGGGGAGCAAACAGGAUUAGAUACCCUGGUAGGAUAGCGAGUCGUGGGAGAAGGCACACGAGGGGAUA
This 501-nucleotide ribosomal RNA is filed under the name uncultured bacterium. Its description in RNAcentral is "bacterial SSU rRNA". It matches the Rfam family "Bacterial small subunit ribosomal RNA", at positions 335 to 834 of the family's 1533-position model. The record is from RNAcentral.